GGUCCAACCACUUGUUCAGAACGCUGCUCACGAAGUGCCACCAUAUCGUAAAUAAUGAAGUAAAGUGCAUUUUGCAUAAUAAUUACAGUGUAAAUAUUUUAAAACAGGAGCGGACUCAACGCCAAGGUGUUUCUGGUAGUAUUAGAUGGCAGAGAUAUGCAUAAACCUUGUACAAUCUUAUCACAAAAUGCUGCGCUCCUGAUGCAAAGAUCAAAAUGAGCCACGACGAGGCGUCAUCAAAUGACUAAAAUGAGUUACCAAGUGGGGGAAAACGCGUGAGUGAUGGGAGCGCGUCAUGUCGACAGCGUCAGCGUCAGGCAACUGGCAGGCGGAUAGGAUGUUGAUGAUGAUGAUGGCAUGGCCAUAUCGGAUGGGCUGCCAAUGGGAACAGAACGGGAGGAAUGGGUGAAUGUCGGCCACAGUUGGCUGACAUUACACUUGUCAACGGGUGUAAUUGCGUUAACGAUG
Molecule: long non-coding RNA, 468 nt
Filed under: Drosophila guanche
Lineage: Eukaryota; Metazoa; Arthropoda; Insecta; Diptera; Drosophilidae
Source: RNAcentral